This 459-nucleotide ribosomal RNA is filed under the name uncultured bacterium. Its description in RNAcentral is "partial 16S ribosomal RNA". It matches the Rfam family "Bacterial small subunit ribosomal RNA", at positions 338 to 795 of the family's 1533-position model. The record is from RNAcentral.
CCUACGGGAGGCAGCAGUGAGGAAUAUUGGUCAAUGGCCGGGAGGCUGAACCAGCCAAGUCGCGUGAGGGAAGACGGCCCUACGGGUUGUAAACCUCUUUUGUCAGGGAGCAAGGUGCAGGUCGGGACCUGCUGUGAGAGUACCUGAAGAAAAAGCAUCGGCUAACUCCGUGCCAGCAGCUGCGGUAAUACGGAGGAUGCGAGCGUUAUCCGGAUUUAUUGGGUUUAAAGGGUGCGCAGGCGGAGGCACAAGUCAGCGGUAAAAUCGCGGGGCUCAACCCCGCUCCGCCGUUGAAACUGUGGCCCUUGAGUGCGCGAAGGGUAGGCGGAAUGCGUGGUGUAGCGGUGAAAUGCAUAUAUAUCACGCAGAACUCCGAUCGCGAAGGCAGCCUACCGGCGCGCAACUGACGCUCAUGCACGAAAGCGUGGGUAUCGAACAGGAUUAGAUACCCUUGUAGUC